This 477-nucleotide long non-coding RNA is filed under the name Chrysemys picta bellii (western painted turtle). RNAcentral describes it as "lncRNA (ENSCPBG00000028197.1)". Lineage: Eukaryota; Metazoa; Chordata; Testudines; Emydidae. The record is from RNAcentral.
GGAAUCAUAUUUCUUCUUGAACACGGAAAUUUGCUUUAUAACUGACUCGUUUACAUUUAGAAAAUGGAAAGGAGAAAAGAAGCAACUGAAGACUCCAACUGAGGCUCCAACCUGCAGCAUUGCCGACUUUGCCAGAUCCCUUCUAAAGAUUCAUUCAGCAUUCUUUGGAGCAUCAAGUCUUGGCCAGCCCUGGAGAAGAACUUCUUAGUCAGCUGGGAAACAAAGGCUGCCUUCAGUGAACUAAGACCCAAAUUGUGGGCCUGCAUCCUGCAACCUGAAAGACACAACUGUUACACUUCCAGGAGCCUCCGAAGUCAGCGAGGAGGUAUAACCAUCUUGUCAGGUGUUCCCCAGAAGAACCAUUAUUGAGCUGGAAGCACAUUUGUCAGAGUGAAGUGACUACUGAGUCUGUAAAAGUUACUGUGGUCGAAGUUGCCUAGGACGGUGGCUGCUGGGUGAACUGGGGGAUCAGGUCAG